Molecule: long non-coding RNA, 787 nt
Organism: Dermacentor andersoni
Lineage: Eukaryota; Metazoa; Arthropoda; Arachnida; Ixodida; Ixodidae
Source: RefSeq, a predicted model, not a curated record
UUAGGAGCAAAACAAGAGGCACCAGGCAGGGAGGGAGGGUGAAAGCAAGUGCCAUAUGUCUAGACCGAGCGCCGCCGGAACUGCGAAGGCUCUGGACUGACACUACAGGAUUCAAACACAGGUUACUCCUGUAGUCAGCGAGGAUGGGACCCGCAUUCCACUCGACGAUGGUUUUGCAUGCAGAACGACAGAAAGUCUUCUGAAGGUGAUGACAGCAAUGAGGACAUGGAGCGAGGAGCAUUGUCCAUUGUCAAACCCCUUCCAAGCUGUGCCUAAGCUGCAGUUUUGAGCCAAGAACCAAGGCAUGCCUUUGCCAAGAAAAGGAUGAACAAGGACAGCACAUCACUACAAGCGAUAUUAACUGAAUUUCAGGAGGCCAAGAAAGAGCAGGCCAACCGCACUGGAAAAAAAAAAAAGACUUUGUUGGAGCGGCUUGUAACAGCUGUUGAAAAAGUUGCCUCGACCGUUUUGGAAUAAAAAUUCUCAAGAAAAAUGAAAACACUGUGUAUGUAUUAUGUGUUAUCAGACACUGCAAGACAAAACGAAGAAGCCUAAGACCUACAGGCCCCAAAUGUCUUGAUUCUUUAUCUUUCACGAACAAAUGUUUUCUCAAAAUAUAUUUGCAGCAUUACAAACACAACGUCAAGCAAAACUUAUCUGCAUGAGUACUCUUAGUGGCACAAAUCAAAUAACUGCUGCACAUCACAAAAGAUGCAAGGAUAUGCACUUCUGUGCUUUAGCACUACUUUUGGGCAAGUGCCUUUCGCAAGCACUCACUGCAGCCUGC